UUGUGAAUUGUGUUAUGCUGACUCGAUUUGGCAUUAGGCCGGGCCCAGUCUUGAAUUAUUCAAUGUAUGAAUAUUUCUUGAAUCAAUAAAAGUAAUUGUUUUAUAUGCGCUUCAUGAGUACUCUGAUAUUUGACUAGUCUGGUCUAACACAACGUUAGGUCAAGGUACGAGUUGAAAAGCCUUAGGCCUUGAUCUAACGGAAAACGCUAACUCUAGGUACGGGUUGCAAAGCCUUUUGCCUUGACGCAGCGGGACGAGUUAGUGGAUGAACUGGUCAAGGUCGUGGAGUAAAGUUUGUGACUCUGACCGGAUUGUCCCUAGCCCGUCACGUAGCGCUUUCGGACCAUGGUGUUGGGUUGGACGGUCAGUCAUGUUCUUGUUUGAUUGUUGGUUGGCCGGUUGGCCUUUCAUCUCCAACCCUUGGUGUGGGUCGUCCGUCGGUCAUGUUCUUGUUUGAUUGUUGGCCGGUGGGUCGACCUAUGCUUAGGACGGUUCGGGGGUGUUACAGUCGGGGGCAUUCGUAUUUCAUAGUUUGAGGUGAAAUUAUUGGAUUUAUGAAAGACGAACAACUGCGAAAGCAUUUACCAAGGAUGUUUUCAUUAAUCAAGAACGACAGUUGGGGGCUCGAAGACGAUCAGAUACCAUCCUAGUCUCAACCAUAAACGAUGCCGACCAGGGAUCAGCGGAUGUUGCUUUUAGGACUCCGCUGGCACCUUACGAGAAAUCAAAGUUUUUGGGUUCCGGGGGGAGUAUGGUUGCAAGGCUGAAACUUAAAGGAAUUGACGGAAGGGCACCACUAGGAGUGGAGCCUGCGGCUUAAUUUGACUCAACACGGGGAAACUUACCAGGUCCAGACAUACUAAGGAUAGACAGACUGAGAGCUCUUUUUUGAUUCUAUGGGUGGUGGUGCAUGGCCGUUCUUAGUUGGUGGAGCGAUUUGUCUGGUUAAUUCCGUUAAAAACGAGACCUCAACCUGCUAACUAGCUACGUGGAGGCAUCCCUUCACGGCCGGCAUCUUAAAGGGACUAUGGCCAUUUAGGCCAAGGAAGUUUGAGGCAAUAACAGGUAUGUGAUGCCCUUAGAUGUUAUGGGCCGCACGCGCGCUACACUGAUGUAUUCCACGAGUUCACACCUUGGCCGACAGGCCCGGGUAAUCUUUGAAAUUUCAUCGUGAUGGGGAUAGAUCAUUGCAAUUGUUGGUCUUCAGCGAGGAAUUCCUAGUAAGCGCGAGUCAUCAGCUCGCAUCGACUACGUCCCUCCCUUUUGUACACACCGCUCGUCGCUCCUACCGAUUGAAUGAUCCAGAAAGUGUUUGGAUCACGGCGACGUGGGUGGUUCGCUGUCUGUGAGGUCGCGAGAAGUCCACUAAGCCUUAUAAUUUAGAGGAAGGAGAAGGCAUAACAAGGUUUCCGUAGGUGAACCUGCGGAAGGAUCAUUG
RNAcentral lists this non-coding RNA (1438 nucleotides) under Brassica napus (rape). RNAcentral describes it as "Eukaryotic small subunit ribosomal RNA". It matches the Rfam family "Eukaryotic small subunit ribosomal RNA", at positions 634 to 1831 of the family's 1831-position model. The record is from Rfam by way of RNAcentral. Lineage: Eukaryota; Viridiplantae; Streptophyta; Magnoliopsida; Brassicales; Brassicaceae.